GAUAUUGCAGUUAAAAGGAAGCUUACCAAAAAAAGGUCACAGACGUCGGAAGCUUACCCAAAACGCCUAUCGACCGAAAGCAAAGUCAUCUGAUAGCAUCAAAACCCCAUGUCCGAAAGUUGGAAAACCCUAGAGUUUGAAGAACUCGUCGGAAUAAGACCAGAGAUGUCGGAAAAUCACCCAAAAUAUCUACUGAUACAUGAUCGGAGCCUUAAACAAUCAGAAAAGUGCCGAUUAUCCGAUUAACAUUCAUCGAAAAAUAUACGAACAAUAUUUUUCUCAGAUAACCGAAGAAAAACUUCAAUAAAAGCUUCAGCAAGUAUCGAUAACACAUAACAGAGAAGGAUCGGAAGAUUUUCCUGCUCUGAUACCAUGAAAACAUGACAAAAGCUUCGGCAAUUAUCGAUAACACAUAACAGAGAAGGAUCGGAAGAUUCUCCUACUUUGAUACCAUGAAAACAUGGAGAUUUGAAGAUGAAAACCAGAGAAGAUGAAGAUGAACAGGAAGAGACAGAGAGAGAAAUGAGAAGCUUCUGGAGGAACCGAGAAGCCAAAAUGAAU
Molecule: long non-coding RNA, 561 nt
Filed under: Nicotiana benthamiana
Lineage: Eukaryota; Viridiplantae; Streptophyta; Magnoliopsida; Solanales; Solanaceae
Description: long non-coding RNA (NBEN_LNC006495)
Source: RNAcentral